This 408-nucleotide ribosomal RNA is filed under the name uncultured bacterium. RNAcentral describes it as "bacterial SSU rRNA". It matches the Rfam family "Bacterial small subunit ribosomal RNA", at positions 30 to 437 of the family's 1533-position model. The record is from RNAcentral.
AUUGAACGCUGGCGGCGUGCUUAACACAUGCAAGUCGUGCGGUAACAGGCGUAGCAAUACGUGCUGACGAGCGGCGAACGGGUGCGUAAUACAUGGGAAUCUGCCUUUUAGUGGGGAAUAACCCGGCGAAAGCCGGGCUAAUGCCGCAUAAGAUCUUCGGAUGAAAGCGGGGGAGUCGUAAGACCUCGCGCUGAUAGAUGAGCCCAUGCCGGAUUAGCAGUUGGUGAGGUAACGGCUCACCAAGGCGACGAUCCGUAGCUGGUCUGAGAGGACGGCCAGCCACACUGGGACUGAGACACGGCCCAGACUCCUACGGGAGGCAGCAGUGGGGAAUAUUGGACAAUGGGGAAACCCUGAUCCAGCGACGCCGCGUGUGUGAAGAAGGCCUGCGGGUUGUAAAGCACUUUC